GACGAACGCUGGCGGCGUGCUUAACACAUGCAAGUCGAACGGAAAGGCCCUGCUUUUGUGGGGUGCUCGAGUGGCGAACGGGUGAGUAACACGUGAGUAACCUGCCCUUGACUUUGGGAUAACUUCAGGAAACUGGGGCUAAUACCGGAUAGGAGCUCCUGCUGCAUGGUGGGGGUUGGAAAGUUUCGGCGGUUGGGGAUGGACUCGCGGCUUAUCAGCUUGUUGGUGGGGUAGUGGCUUACCAAGGCUUUGACGGGUAGCCGGCCUGAGAGGGUGACCGGCCACAUUGGGACUGAGAUACGGCCCAGACUCCUACGGGAGGCAGCAGUGGGGAAUAUUGCACAAUGGGCGGAAGCCUGAUGCAGCAACGCCGCGUGCGGGAUGACAGCCUUCGGGUUGUAAACCGCUUUCGCCUGUGACGAAUCGUGAGUGACGGUAAUGGGUAAAGAAGCACCGGCUAACUACGUGCCAGCAGCCGCGGUGAUACGUAUGGCGCGAGCGUUGUCCGGAUUUAUUGUGCGUAAAAGGCUCCUAAGUGGUUGAUCGCGUCGGAAGUGUAAUCUUGGGGCUUAACCCUGAGCGUGCUUUCGAUACGGGUUGACUUGAGGAAGGUAGGGGAGAAUGGAAUUCCUGGUGGAGCGGUGGAAUGCGCAGAUAUCAGGAGGAACACCAGUGGCGAAGGCGGUUCUCUGGGCCUUUCCUGACGCUGAGGAGCGAAAGCGUGGGGAGCGAACAGGCUUAGAUACCCUGGUAGUCCACGCUGUAAACGGUGGGUACUAGGUGUGGGGUCCAUUCCACGGGUUCCGUGCCGUAGCUAACGCUUUAAGUACCCCGCCUGGGGAGUACGGCCGCAAGGCUAAAACUCAAAGGAAUUGACGGGGCCCCGCACAAGCGGCGGAGCAUGCGGAUUAAUUCGAUGCAACGCGUAGAACCUUACCUGGGUUUGACAUGGAUCGGGAGUGCUCAGAGAUGGGUGUGCCUCUUUUGGGGUCGGUUCACAGGUGGUGCAUGGCUGUCGUCAGCUCGUGUCGUGAGAUGUUGGGUUAAGUCCCGCAACGAGCGCAACCCUUGUUCACUGUUGCCAGCACGUUAUGGUGGGGACUCAGUGGAGACCGCCGGGGUCAACUCGGAGGAAGGUGGGGAUGACGUCAAGUCAUCAUGCCCCUUAUGUCCAGGGCUUCACGCAUGCUACAAUGGCUGGUACAGAGAGUGGCGAGCCUGUGAGGGUGAGCGAAUCUCGGAAAGCCGGUCUCAGUUCGGAUUGGGGUCUGCAACUCGACCUCAUGAAGUCGGAGUCGCUAGUAAUCGCAGAUCAGCAACGCUGCGGUGAAUACGUUCCCGGGGCU
RNAcentral lists this ribosomal RNA (1346 nucleotides) under uncultured bacterium. RNAcentral's name for it is "partial 16S ribosomal RNA". It matches the Rfam family "Bacterial small subunit ribosomal RNA", at positions 28 to 1381 of the family's 1533-position model. The record is from RNAcentral.